This 483-nucleotide ribosomal RNA is filed under the name uncultured bacterium. RNAcentral's name for it is "partial 16S ribosomal RNA". It matches the Rfam family "Bacterial small subunit ribosomal RNA", at positions 28 to 507 of the family's 1533-position model. The record is from RNAcentral.
GACGAACGCUGGCGGCGUGCCUAACACAUGCAAGUCGAGCGGGGAUUUAAGUGGAAGUUCUUCGGAAUGGUGAUUUAAAUUCUAGCGGCGGACGGGUGAGUAACGCGUGAACAAUCUGUCCCGGACAGGGGGAUAACACUUGGAAACAGGUGCUAAUACCGCAUAAGACCACGGCCUCGCAUGUGGCUGAGGUCAAAGGAGCAAUCCGGUUCGGGGUGAGUUCGCGUCCGAUUAGCUAGUUGGUGAGGUAACGGCCCACCAAGGCGACGAUCGGUAGGCGGCCUGAAGGGGUGAACGGCCACAGGGGAACGGAGAGACGGUCCAAACUAGUACGGGAGGCAGCAGUGGGGAAUAUUGGGCAAUGGGCGAAAGCAUGACCAAGCAACGCCGCGUGAGGGAAGAAGGUUUUCGGAUUGUAAAAAUCUGUCCUAUGGGACGAAGGAAGUGACGGUACCAGAGGAGGAAGCCCCGGCUAACUACGUG